ACGGGAUCGAACGGCCCAAAGAUAAGUC
This 28-nucleotide small RNA is filed under the name Bombyx mori (domestic silkworm). Its description in RNAcentral is "ovarian small RNA-11575". Lineage: Eukaryota; Metazoa; Arthropoda; Insecta; Lepidoptera; Bombycidae. The record is from RNAcentral.